GCCAGUGUGGUGUAGUGGUUUGAGUGUAGGACUAUGCUUCUGUAGACCAGGGUUCAAAUCCCUACUCAGUCA
Phrynosoma platyrhinos (Desert horned lizard) is the source of this 72-nucleotide non-coding RNA. NCBI's taxonomy places the organism in Eukaryota, Metazoa, Chordata, Lepidosauria, Squamata, Phrynosomatidae. The record is from the annotation of a GenBank genome assembly.